Fusarium fujikuroi IMI 58289 is the source of this 91-nucleotide small nucleolar RNA. It matches the Rfam family "A. fumigatus snoRNA Afu_455". NCBI's taxonomy places the organism in Eukaryota, Fungi, Ascomycota, Sordariomycetes, Hypocreales, Nectriaceae. The record is from Rfam.
CCGAGUGAUGAUCAAAACGACACCUUAGGGAUUCCUCAUUCUUAAUAUACUAUGUGGAUACUGUUGUUAUAAGUUUCAGCCUUGUCUGACA